Molecule: non-coding RNA, 627 nt
Organism: Schizosaccharomyces pombe (fission yeast)
Lineage: Eukaryota; Fungi; Ascomycota; Schizosaccharomycetes; Schizosaccharomycetales; Schizosaccharomycetaceae
Source: the annotation of a GenBank genome assembly
UCAAUAACUUUUUUUUUUUUUUUUCUGCUCUCUUUCUCUUUUCAUUUUUUUUUUGGUCAGCGUGAGAUACUGGCUUUCAUUGAGCUACAAUAAAUAGUUUUGACUUUUUAUUUCUAUUUCUAUUUCUUCUUUAUUUUCCUGCUGUCUUUCUCUUCUCGCAUACACAAAAGAGACUCAAACAUACACACACACAUACUCGGAGAGUUUCUCUCUCUCUCUCUCUCUUUUUUUUAGAGUUUCCUUUUUGCUCACUUGUUUUUCUUUGAUCGUCGUUCUUUACGACAUCUUUGUAUUAUAACGAAAAUAACCUUUAUUUGGACUUUCUUUUUAUUCACUGUGGAUGAGCUCACUGUGUUGUUCCAUGCACAAAUUUGUCACUUUCCAUGUGAAUUUUUCGUGGGGUUGUUGUAAACAUUCAUGAAUUCCUUCGUUUGCUUUUUUUUUAAACAAUUUUUAAUUUUUAUUUACUGUUUCUAAUGCUGACAUUUAUUUGCCUUUUUUAUUUCAUUGCAAAACAUUAUAUAUGUAUUCAUAGUAAAAACUGAAGUGAAAGUCUAUUACAGUCAUUUAAAUAGAUUAGCUCAUCUGUAUUAAAAUUAAUAAAAGCAUUGCAAUUUAUAUUAUAAA